AUGAGGAAUAUUGCACAAUGGGCGAAAGCCUGAUGCAGCGACGCCGCGUGGGUGAGGAAGUUCUUCGGAAUGUAAAGCCCUUUUAUCGGGGACGAUCCAAGACGGUACCCGAUGAAUAAGCCCCGGCUAACUACGUGCCAGCAGCCGCGGUAAUACGUAGGGGGCAAGCGUUGUCCGGAUUUACUGGGCGUAAAGAGCGCGUAGGCGGACGUUUAAGUGUGGCCUGAAAGCCCCCGGCUCAACCGGGGAUCCGGGUUGCAAACUGGACGUCUUGAGGGGGAUAGGGGAAGGUGGAAUUCCUGGUGUAGCGGUGAAAUGCGUAGAGAUCAGGAGGAACACCCGUGGCGAAGGCGGCCUUCUGGGUCCGCCCUGACGCUGAGGCGCGAAAGCGUGGGGAGCGAACGGGAUUAGAAACCCGAGUAGUCC
This 426-nucleotide ribosomal RNA is filed under the name uncultured bacterium. RNAcentral describes it as "bacterial SSU rRNA". It matches the Rfam family "Bacterial small subunit ribosomal RNA", at positions 354 to 796 of the family's 1533-position model. The record is from RNAcentral.